Dermacentor andersoni is the source of this 1455-nucleotide non-coding RNA. The record is from RefSeq and is a predicted model, not a curated record. Lineage: Eukaryota; Metazoa; Arthropoda; Arachnida; Ixodida; Ixodidae.
UUGUGCCACUUCUGUUCCUGCCAGCCAACCAACGGCCGCUCGAGACUCCGCGAGAAUGCAGCUCGCGUCUCGUAGCGUUCCCCUUCCAACGUUCCAUCGCGCACCCAAGCCGAAAUGCGAACUUCUUCGCACAGCAGCCUCUCGGACGAACAUGCUUCGUGUUCGACGCGUGCUGCAGCGCAGGUUAGUGACCGGCGCCCAAAGGGACCCGCGCCCUUUGACGAGCCCGCCUCGCGGGGCUCGCGUAGCCCUUCGCCUCCGACUGCGCCGCCGAACAGACGCCGCUUUCUCGGUGCGCACACCGCGACGAAAGGUCGCCGAAACAGAUUGUCCCGCAAGAAGUCGCGUCGCAGGAGGAAGAACCGACGCACAGCAGGCGGCUCCCUCUGGACCGGCCGGAGCCUCGGAGUAGACGUACCCUCGCGGACACCGUCGGUUUCCACGGCCAGAGAUCGCUACUGCGCCGGAGGGCUUCGCUCGAAAGCGUCCGGUGGCUGGACCUGCCAUCAUCCGACAUCAGGGGACGAUUCCAGGACACACGCACCUCCCCGUGCGGUUCGGGACGCCACCCCCAGUGCGUAAGGCGUCGCUCGCCAUUGGGCCGGGAACGCCGGCAGGACUGCAGGCACGUCCGGAACCGCGAACUGCGCCGCUUGGCGCCUAGACUCACAUCGCAUUCCAGCCGCAGACGCGUGCUGCUGCUAUCAUUGUUGGGCCAGCUGUCUCCCAUCACGCCGGCACCGCUACGGCUGGUCAUGCCUCAACCUUCUUGGUGUCCUGAUGCCGCAAGGAAUUAUGUGACUCCAUUCUCAGCCAAGUGCACCGUAUCACCGCACUCACCACUGCCAGUUCUGGAAACUACUGUGUAUGCAGUCCGGCAACAUGGAACGGCGUCAGCUCACCCAGCAGCUCAAUAAGGCGCACAUUUCACCGACGCAACGGGCCACGGCACCGCAGUUACGAUGCCACGCUCACCGCUGAUGUUCUUCCAGAUGCUAUCCGCCGUCCUCGUCCAUCUGUUCCUUGCUGCCGGUGUGACUACUUCUGCUGACACACCACCGGCCUGUGGAUUGCUGUGCUACAACUCUGCUCCGCCCACUAUCCAGCUGACAACCAUCAACGUGUCAAGCUUGAACCCGCCGCUAUCUGCUUUCCUGGCGCCACUGCCGCUGCGCCUGGCCCUGGAUGGUGGAUCGUCAGCGCCAUCGUCACCAACAUCAGCUGCGUUGCCAACUAUAAAAGUUUACGCACCCGGUUCUGAGACUACAGAAUGAAGCUCCCGCUUUGCAGAGCAUUUCUGUUUAUCACCUGGUGGAAAUUCGCCUCUUGCACAACACCGUGCAAGAAUUCCUGCCUGCGGGAGUGGUGCCCAGCGCUUAGGGAUCCAACAAAGAACAGCGCGCUUAAUGAUGCCCCUGCUGACCCAGAGAUUCUGGCGCUUUUGGAGGAGAGAAA